UACGGGGGGGGCUAGCGUUGUUCGGAAUUAUUGGGCGUAAAGAGCUCGUAGGCGGUUUGUCGCGUCUGCUGUGAAAUCCCGAGGCUCAACCUCGGGCCUGCAGUGGGUACGGGCAGACUGGAGUGCGGUAGGGGAGAAUGGAAUUCCUGGUGUAGCGGUGGAAUGCGCAGAUAUCAGGAGGAACACCGAUGGCGAAGGCAGUUCUCUGGGCCGUAACUGACGCUGAGGAGCGAAAGCGUGGGGAGCGAACAGG
RNAcentral lists this ribosomal RNA (253 nucleotides) under uncultured bacterium. RNAcentral's name for it is "partial 16S ribosomal RNA". It matches the Rfam family "Bacterial small subunit ribosomal RNA", at positions 524 to 776 of the family's 1533-position model. The record is from RNAcentral.